Molecule: ribosomal RNA, 376 nt
Filed under: Papurana cf. volkerjane ZMB 64021
Lineage: Eukaryota; Metazoa; Chordata; Amphibia; Anura; Ranidae
Description: Hylarana cf. volkerjane ZMB 64021 partial 12S ribosomal RNA
Rfam family: Bacterial small subunit ribosomal RNA
Source: RNAcentral
UGCCUAGCCGUAACAAUUAACUUACACCAAUAAGCGCCAGGGAAUUACGAGCAAUGCUUAAAACCCAAAGGAUUUGACGGUGUCCCACCCCCCUAGAGGAGCCUGUUUUUUAAUCGAUGAUCCCCGAUAUACCCGACCACUCCUAGCUAUUCAGUCUGUAUACCUCCGUCGAAAGCCUACCAUGUGAACGUUUUCAGUAGGCCCAAUGAUCCCCGUCAAUACGUCAGGUCAAGGUGCAGCUCACGGGAUGGGAAGUAAUGGGCUACAAUUUCUAAACUAGAACAAACGAAAGACUCUGUGAAAUCAUAGUCGCGAAGGCGGAUUUAGUAGUAAAAAGAAAAUAGAGAGUUCUUUUUAACUUGGCUCUGGGACGCGU